AGCUGAAUGCCAUGGUGGACCUCUAAGACCAGAAAGGAGGCAGAGAAGGAAAAAUCCAAAGAAGCUAGCUAGCCUGGAAUAUACAGCUCCACAGAAGCAGGAGAUUGUACCCCAAGCAGGCCGGGUGGCUCAAGGGUUAAAGACACUUGCCUUUAAGCCCAAUGACCUCGGUUCAGUCCCUGUAUCCAAAAGGCAGUCCGUGGACAUACCUCACAAAGUGCUCUGCAGCUUGUAUUUCCCUGCUUACCAUAUGUCCUGGAGACCUUCCCACAUCAGUUCUCGGAAGCGCCUCAUUCGCUUUAACGGUACCUCCAGCCACCCGUGCAUACGGGAGGGCUUACAGAACCACGCCCCCAGGGAACAUCUGUGUGAGCUGUCAUGCCCAUCGGUUGCUGCUGUGAACAUCUGUACGCUCGGAAAUGGACCUGACAGUGAUCCAUCAAACACAGAGGUAUCCCAAGGCUUUUCUUCCGAUGCCUGCAGUAAGAGACAUGGAAACUGACUCCUUUAAAAAAAUAAUAAACAAUUGUUUUAAGUUGGGAA
This is a long non-coding RNA of Mesocricetus auratus (golden hamster), 543 nucleotides long. RefSeq lists it as uncharacterized. The transcript is spliced from 3 exons. Lineage: Eukaryota; Metazoa; Chordata; Mammalia; Rodentia; Cricetidae. The record is from RefSeq and is a predicted model, not a curated record.